AUUGAACGCUGGCGGCAGGCCUAACACACGCAAGUCGAGCGGAUGAAGGGAGCUUGCUCCUGGAUUCAGCGGCAGACGGGUGAGUAAUGCCUAGGAAUCUGCCUGGUAGUGGGGGAUAACGUCCGGAAACGGGCGCUAAUACCGCAUACGUCCUGAGGGAGAAAGUGGGUGAUCUUCGGACCUCACGCUAUCAGAUGAGCCUAGGUCGGAUUAGCUAGUUGGUGGGGUAAAGGCCUACCAAGGCGACGAUCCGUAACUGGUCUGAGAGGAUGAUCAGUCACACUGGAACUGAGACACGGUCCCGACUCCUACGGGAGGCAGCAGUGGGGAAUAUUGGACGAUGGGCGAAAGCCUGAUACAGCCAUGCCGCGUGUGUGAAGAAGGUCUUCGGAUUGUAAAGCACUUUAAGUUGGGAGGAAGGGCAGUAAGUUAAUACCUUACUGUUUUGACGUUACCAACAGAAUAAGCACCGGCUAACUUCGUG
RNAcentral lists this ribosomal RNA (484 nucleotides) under uncultured bacterium. RNAcentral describes it as "partial 16S ribosomal RNA". It matches the Rfam family "Bacterial small subunit ribosomal RNA", at positions 30 to 507 of the family's 1533-position model. The record is from RNAcentral.